Molecule: ribosomal RNA, 497 nt
Filed under: uncultured bacterium
Lineage: Bacteria
Description: partial 16S ribosomal RNA
Rfam family: Bacterial small subunit ribosomal RNA
Source: RNAcentral
GAUGAACGCUGGCGGCGUGCCUAAUACAUGCAAGUCGAGCGAACAGACGAGGAGCUUGCUCCUCUGACGUUAGCGGCGGACGGGUGAGUAACACGUGGAUAACCUACCUAUAAGACUGGGAUAACUUCGGGAAACCGGAGCUAAUACCGGAUAAUAUAUUGAACCGCAUGGUUCAAUAGUGAAAGACGGUUUUGCUGUAACUUAUAGAUGGAUCCGCGCCGCAUUAGCUAGUUGGUAAGGUAACGGCUUACCAAGGCAACGAUGCGUAGCCGACCUGAGAGGGUGAUCGGCCACACUGGAACUGAGACACGGUCCAGACUCCUACGGGAGGCAGCAGUAGGGAAUCGUCCGCAAGGGGCGAAAGCCUGACGGAGCAACGCCGCGUGAGUGAUGAAGGUCUUCGGAUCGUAAAACUCUGUUAUUAGGGAAGAACAAAUGUGUAAGUAACUAUGCACGUCUUGACGGUACCUAAUCAGAAAGCCACGGCUAACUACGUG